GAUGGUGCAUCGAUUUAGACAACUGGAUGCAAAGCUCUCUGAUUUGAAAGGCCUUCUGAAAGAGAUUUCUAGCAAAAUCAAAUGAACGCAGCUGAAAUCCAAGAGCAGCUGCCUGAGCAGGGUAGCAGUUCCAAGGAGUGAUUUCUCGGAGCUGGCGGUGACCACCAAGCAGGCAGUGACUGAUCCCCCAGAGUGGCAGUGGCUCGGCAGGAGUCACUACGGUUUUCUUGCUAUUUUUACUCUUUUUUUUUGACAAAACAGCGCUUUGUGCUUGUUGCAAGGUGAUGAUAAAGCAUGGGAUGAUUGUCCAUGUGCUUGCAGGACUCCCAUGUUACCCAAACUCUCCUUUUUCUCAUCCUCCCCCAAGUCCAGUGGCAGCAAUUAGUCCUUGUCAGCUGCUGUUACAAAGCACUCCUAAUUCCCAGAGUUCUGCUGCUAUGGCCAAAAUCACUUUGCUUUUCCAUUUCACUCAGAGGGGCCUGGUUUUGGGUUUCCUUUAGCCACUAAUUGCUUGUCAUAAGGAAUCAAUGUCCCUUCCCAUUGCUUUGUGUCGUAGCCAGAUGUAGGUUGUUCCUUGCAUGCUCUGUCUGUCAGACCUGCUGGAGUCUGCAAUACUGACGUGCCAGAACACAGUGCAUUUCAGCAUCAUCCCCUCCGAGGAAAACCUUUGGUCCAACCCUGUACCCACCUUUUGGACUGCACAUGAACACUGUGGAGUUCUUCCUGCUCUCCCUGGCCUGUGCAGCAGUGUAGAAGCUCAGCUAUUACAACCCUAGACUAUGGGAGAGACUUUAAUUCAUCUAGGAAGUGUUUGCUUGUUGCUUGUUUCCUUUGUGGUAAUUUGUGUGCUGGGAGCCUUGCAAUUCAUUUGGCUUUGGCAAGCAUCUGUUUGCUGAUGGUUGUGUUUGGAAAUGGGGAAGAGCUUGUGGGCCAGCUCUUGAUAUUGCACUGCUUCCUAUGGGGAGAUGGCUCUUUGUGCUUUCUGUCUAAAGGAGCAGCUGAGUUUUGUCUGCUUUUGUUCAGUGUAACUGGGUGAUAUUUAUAUCCUCAUUAUGUUAUCAGAAAGGUUACUGCUCUGUCCUUGCUGCACCUCCUGACCUGACUGUACUGUGCUGUGCAUUACAUGAUCCUGAGGCCUCCAGCACUACCAAUAGCAGUGUUACUUGUUCACAUGGGACAAUAUUGGUGUAUUCCUGCUCAAAAGUUUCCAAAGGACCAGGUUUUCAUUGACUCCCCUGGCAGUUAGCAUGCAUCCUAAAUUUUUGAGAUAAGUUUCCUUUCUAGAAACUGUUUUUCCCCACAUCAUUUGUAUGCCUUGGAUGUAAAGACUGUGCUUUUAGUUCAUUCCUUUCUUAUCUAAAACCUGCUGUGUAUUUGCCCGUGGCUCCAGCAAUCUGUUCUGUUGUGAGUUGUUGAAUGUAACUGUGAACUGUGUUCUGUAAACUCUAAAUCUGGGAGUCUGCCCCUUGCCCAGUGCUGCAGCCUGUGGGACAGGCAGCUCCCUCUGUUGCUCCCUCUGGCAGCUCUCCAACUGACCCUCUGGGCCAGACUGUGGGACUUGAUAAGGGAA
Molecule: long non-coding RNA, 1570 nt
Organism: Myiozetetes cayanensis
Lineage: Eukaryota; Metazoa; Chordata; Aves; Passeriformes; Tyrannidae
Exons: 3
Source: RefSeq, a predicted model, not a curated record